This is a small nuclear RNA of Jaculus jaculus (lesser Egyptian jerboa), 109 nucleotides long. NCBI's taxonomy places the organism in Eukaryota, Metazoa, Chordata, Mammalia, Rodentia, Dipodidae. The record is from Ensembl.
CUGCUUGCUUCAGCAGCACAUACACUAAAAUUGAAAUGAUACAAAGAUUAGCAUGGCCACUGUGCAAGGAUGACAUGUAAACUUAAAUCCAGAUGAGAAAAACCAUUUA